Molecule: ribosomal RNA, 460 nt
Filed under: uncultured bacterium
Lineage: Bacteria
Description: partial 16S ribosomal RNA
Rfam family: Bacterial small subunit ribosomal RNA
Source: RNAcentral
CCUACGGGGUGCAGCAGUGAGGAAUAUUGGUCAAUGGACGAGAGUCUGAACCAGCCAAGUAGCGUGAAGGAUGACUGCCCUAUGGGUUGUAAACUUCUUUUAUAUGGGAAUAAAACGUUCCACGUGUGGGAUUUUGUAUGUACCAUAUGAAUAAGGAUCGGCUAACUCCGUGCCAGCAGCCGCGGUAAUACGGAGGAUCCGAGCGUUAUCCGGAUUUAUUGGGUUUAAAGGGAGCGUAGGUGGAUUGUUAAGUCAGUUGUGAAAGUUUGCGGCUCAACCGUAAAAUUGCAGUUGAAACUGGCAGUCUUGAGUACAGUAGAGGUGGGCGGAAUUCGUGGUGUAGCGGUGAAAUGCUUAGAUAUCACGAAGAACUCCGAUUGCGAAGGCAGUUCACUGGACUGCAACUGACACUGAGGCUCGAAAGUGUGGGUAUCAAACAGGAUUAGAUACCCCUGUAGCC